CGCAUGAUACCUGAGGGUCAAAGGCGCAAGUCGCCUGUGGAGGAACCUGCGUUCGAUUAGCUAGUUGGUGGGGUAAAGGCCUACCAAGGCGAUGAUCGAUAGCUGGUUUGAGAGGAUGAUCAGCCACACUGGGACUGAGACACGGCCCAGACUCCUACGGGAGGCAGCAGUGGGGAAUAUUGGACAAUGGGCGAAAGCCUGAUCCAGCAAUGCCGCGUGUGUGAAGAAGGUCUUCGGAUUGUAAAGCACUUUCGACGGGGACGAUGAUGACGGUACCCGUAGAAGAAGCCCCGGCUAACUUCGUGCCAGCAGCCGCGGUAAUACGAAGGGGGCUAGCGUUGCUCGGAAUGACUGGGCGUAAAGGGCGCGUAGGCGGUUGUUACAGUCAGAUGUGAAAUCCCCGGGCUUAACCUGGGAACUGCAUUUGAUACGUGACGACUAGAGUUCGAGAGAGGGUUGUGGAAUUCCCAGUGUAGAGGUGAAAUUCGUAGAUAUUGGGAAGAACACCGGUGGCGAAGGCGGCAACCUGGCUCGAUACUGACGCUGAGGCG
RNAcentral lists this ribosomal RNA (551 nucleotides) under Gluconobacter oxydans. RNAcentral's name for it is "bacterial SSU rRNA". It matches the Rfam family "Bacterial small subunit ribosomal RNA", at positions 170 to 753 of the family's 1533-position model. The record is from RNAcentral. Lineage: Bacteria; Pseudomonadati; Pseudomonadota; Alphaproteobacteria; Acetobacterales; Acetobacteraceae.